ACCUCUAUCUCCUGGCAGAGGAGGCCGCAGAGGCUGGCUUUCCAAAACUGCCCCCUCCGCUGCUGCCAAGUGGCUGGU
This is a microRNA precursor of Pongo abelii (Sumatran orangutan), 78 nucleotides long. The record is from Ensembl. Lineage: Eukaryota; Metazoa; Chordata; Mammalia; Primates; Hominidae.